RNAcentral lists this ribosomal RNA (398 nucleotides) under uncultured bacterium. Its description in RNAcentral is "bacterial SSU rRNA". It matches the Rfam family "Bacterial small subunit ribosomal RNA", at positions 358 to 773 of the family's 1533-position model. The record is from RNAcentral.
GGAAUAUUGGACAAUGGGGGCAACCCUGAUCCAGCAAUGCCGCGUGAGUGAUGAAGGCCUUAGGGUUGUAAAGCUCUUUCGACGGGGACGAUGAUGACGGUACCCGUAGAAGAAGCCCCGGCUAACUUCGUGCCAGCAGCCGCGGUAAUACGAAGGGGGCUAGCGUUGUUCGGAAUUACUGGGCGUAAAGGGCGCGUAGGCGGUCUUGUAAGUCAGAUGUGAAAGCCCCGGGCUCAACCCGGGAAUAGCAUUUGAUACUGCAAGGCUUGAGUCCGGGAGAGGAUGGCGGAAUUCCCAGUGUAGAGGUGAAAUUCGUAGAUAUUGGGAAGAACACCGGUGGCGAAGGCGGCCAUCUGGACCGGUACUGACGCUGAGGCGCGAAAGCGUGGGGAGCAAAC